CCUACGGGAGGCAGCAGUGGGGGAUAUUGCACAAUGGGGGAAACCCUGAUGCAGCGACGCCGCGUGAGUGAAGAAGUAUUUCGGUAUGUAAAGCUCUAUCAGCAGGGAAGAAAAUGACAGUACCUGACCAAGAAGCCCCGGCUAACUACGUGCCAGCCGCCGCGGUAAUACGUAGGGGGCAAGCGUUAUCCGGAUGUACUGGGUGUAAAGGGGGCGUAGACGGUAAUGUAAGUCUGGCGUGAAAGCCCGGGGCCCAACCCCGGGACUGCUUUGGAAACUGUGUAACUGGAGUACGGGAGGGGUAGGCGGAAUUCCUGGUGUAGAGGUGAAAGGCGUAGAUAUCAGGAGGAACACCGGCGGCGAAGGCGGCCUGCUGGACUGAAACUGACGUUGAGGCUCGAAAGCGUGGGGAGCAAACAGGAUUAGAUACCCGAGUAGUC
RNAcentral lists this ribosomal RNA (440 nucleotides) under uncultured bacterium. RNAcentral describes it as "partial 16S ribosomal RNA". It matches the Rfam family "Bacterial small subunit ribosomal RNA", at positions 338 to 795 of the family's 1533-position model. The record is from RNAcentral.